Molecule: ribosomal RNA, 377 nt
Filed under: uncultured organism
Description: partial 16S ribosomal RNA
Rfam family: Bacterial small subunit ribosomal RNA
Source: RNAcentral
GUAGGGGUGCAAGCGUUAUCCGGAAUCAUUGGGCGUAAAGAGCUCGUAGGCGGUUCAGCAAGUCGGCUGUGAAAUCCCGAGGGCUUAACCUCGGAACUGCAGUCGAUACUGCUGUGACUAGAGUCCGGUAGAGGAGAAUGGAAUUCCCGGUGUAGCGGUGAAAUGCGCAGAUAUCGGGAGGAACACCAGUAGCGAAGGCGGUUCUCUGGGCCGGUACUGACGCUGAGGAGCGAAAGCGUGGGUAGCAAACAGGAUUAGAUACCCUGGUAGUCCACGCCGUAAACGUUGGACACUAGGUGUGGCGUUCCGACCAACGGGUGCCGUGCCGAAGCUAACGCAUUAAGUGUCCCGCCUGGGGAGUACGGCCGCAAAGGCUA